Long non-coding RNA from Boleophthalmus pectinirostris (great blue-spotted mudskipper), 467 nucleotides. RefSeq lists it as uncharacterized. The record is from RefSeq and is a predicted model, not a curated record. The transcript is spliced from 4 exons. NCBI's taxonomy places the organism in Eukaryota, Metazoa, Chordata, Actinopteri, Gobiiformes, Gobiidae.
UCGAAAACACGGAGCAAAAAGCCGGUCCCGAGAGCGGAGAAAAACAUGGGAAAAGAAGCCCACAGAGUGAUUUAAAGAAGCUACGAGGAGAAAACUCCACGUUUUCACGGACAGUGUAAACAUGUAAACAGUUGGUCAGUGUAGCUCGGAGCCUCCUGUAUGAGGACACGGCACACUGCAGGGGCCACAGAACUGUUGGCCGACAAGAUGCUUGUGAUUCAUAAAAUGGGUCAAAUGCAGAUGACAAAGUAAAGCCAACACUGAGCUGGAGGUGCUGACCCAGACUCCUGCCAACGAUUAGGUUUUCACUCUGCAGGACAGAACUUUGAAUCAAUCAGACGCAACAACCAUUCUGCUCUUCCUCCUCCAGAAGACGAGAGAUACAUCAGACUGAGUGGUCCAAGUCCACUGUCCAUGUCUCCAAUGUCCAUGUCUCCAAUGUCCAUGUCUCCACUGUCCAUGUCUCC